Long non-coding RNA from Hyla sarda, 365 nucleotides. RefSeq lists it as uncharacterized. The record is from RefSeq and is a predicted model, not a curated record. Lineage: Eukaryota; Metazoa; Chordata; Amphibia; Anura; Hylidae. The transcript has 3 exons.
AGAUGCCAGCACUUAUGUUCCAUUCUGCAUCAACAUCUCUGCUUGCUGUCAAUGAAAACAUUCAACUCCACAUUCAACCCUGCACUGAUCUAGACUCGUAUGUACCAGGUAUUGUAACACCUUCCCCCGACUCCUAUCCACCAGACGCGGGGGCCGCUGCCAUAGACGGUCCUGGAAAGACAAGGGCCCAAAGGGAACAGAAAAUAACUCUGAGAUAGAACAACCUAAUAUGGACGGCAAGUGGGCUGGCGGUUCGGAUUCUCACCGUACUCGAUGUAACAUGUAGUUGAUGUAACUGUAUAAAUAUUUUUCUAGAGGGGUGUCUCCCAAUCAGAUGAUGACAACACAUGUAUUUUUAAUUGAUC